CAGGAGGGUGACCAGGGUUGUGACCAUAAUGUGGUGGCUUCUCUCCCUUAGGUGGUUUGCCAACUGGGGUUGGUGGCUUGUUUUCUGGGAGUGGCUUCUCUCCCUUGGGUGGUUUGCCAACUGGGGUUGGUGGCUUGUGUUCUGGGAGUGGCUUCUCCCCCUUGGGAGGUUUUUCGAAUGGGGUGGGUUUGUGUCCUGGUGGUGGCUUCUCUCCCUUGGGAGGUUUACCAAUUGGGGUCGGUGGCUUGUGUUCUGGGAGGGGCUUCUCUCCCUGGGGAGGUUUAGUGGGUGGCUUGUGUUCUGGAGGUGGCUUCUCCACCGGAGGCUUAUGCUCUGGUGGUGGCUUCUCGAAGGGGGGAUGCUCAGGGUAAUCACCAAGUGAGGGGGUGGUGAGAACCACCAUGCCAAGCAACAACACUAGCAAGUAUGUAGUAGACAUCUUUGGGUUUGGACUCAGACAGUGCAAAACUACGAGAAAUCGCUAGCCCUUUAUAGCGGCUCGGACCUAAUACUGACAUAAUAUAAAAUAAAUAUUAUAUUUUAUCAAGAGAGAACAGAGUGUAAUUUUAUCAUUAAUACCGAUCGAGGCCAAAGAAAGAAGACCCAUAAUCCAUUUCCCACAAGCAUACACAAUGCAGCUGUAAUUUUAUCAUUUACUUUUAUCCCUUGGACCACUGCAUUUUUGUUGAGAGACACAAUAACACAUUUUUAUCUGUCAUUCAACAUUUACAGUAAAGAGAGGGCACAAAACGCAAUUAGAUAAAUUAUGUUUUGCCUGCUAAAAAGAGGCAAAUAACUUUAUUUGCAACAUAAUUAUUUUGGUUUCUAGUGACCCCGGGGCCUUUCGGUUGGUUUGGGAUCGGAAAAUGAACAUCAUAGGGGGGGUUGUGCCCUUAUGGGCAUAUAUAUCUGAUAGCUUCAACUGGCCUUGUUCCUAGAAAGAAAUUGCCAAAGAUAUAAACUUAUUCCAGGCUGAAAGUAGAUGAGAGUCAUAAUGAACAUCAACCUUUGUUCAGUUUGAUUCAAUGCCCCCAUAGUGUUCAUUUCACAGAUCUGAAUGAUUAUAUCCGUUGAAUACAUAAAUUAAUGAAGACAAAUAUGAAACCCAAGAUACAUCUCUGCAUAACAACCCCAACCCUGGUUGCUAUGUUUCCCUUCUUCUAUUCACAUGAGGAUACUGGUUAUAAUUGUCAAACUUGCAACAAGCCCUUUGACACCUAACGUCAAUGGACGAAUUAAAAGUCUCCUUCAAACGUCUAUUUCACAGCAUGAAGCUUAUAAAGGAUGCUGACAACCUUCAGAGUUAGCGACAAAAGAUAAUUAUCAAGGAGAGAUAGUUCCAUGAGAAUUCCAAGGAGUCUGAAUCAAAGACAAAUUGCUCACUCAAGGGUUCUUAUUUUCUUUUAGGUACAAAUCUCUUGAGUGUUGUUAAAGAAACACGUCACUGUCAUUUUGAUUUGCAUUUAACAUUUCACUUUUGUUCUGGAAGGUUUGUUCCGGAAACAUAUCAAAUGAGCAUCAUUUUCUUCUUCGGUGACACAUGGUCGCGAGUACGUGGGUCCAUUUUCAUGCCACUUAGUUGAAAAGUUGGAAAGAAAAAACAUGCCAACAAGAAGAUAGUGAGAGAAGGGGCACUUCAAGCCUUUAACAUGAACAAACAGUAAAUAAAAGAUGUUUCUCCACUCAUAAAAGUGUGUUAGAUAGCAAUAUAACGAAUCACAUCCAAAAUCUUUACUAGGCUCAAACAUAAAGAAGACUCAUUUUUAAGAAAAGAUAAAAAUGGCAUUGUCUGAUAGUAUCCAAUACACGAGAUGGCACUUAAUUUGUACAAGAUCUGUCAAUGCUGACGCACAUUUUCUGAUUAAAAAAAAACUGAUCAGUCAAAAGCAAUGAAGAGAAGUGAUGACAAUGAAUGAUGCUUCCAAUAUUUUCACCCCUUAUAGUGUUCUUCAUGAUUCAGAUAUAUAAUUGGAAAUAGAACAACCCUAUGCCAUACAUUCGUCUAAGUAUGGUGUCUAAUUUUUUGUGUCAGCGGUUGCGAAUGGAGCGUGCAAAAGUCCAAAUUGGCGUCUCUCCAUUUCCACAUAGGAAGGUGACCUUUAUUGACAAAUACCCAAUAUUUGUAGACAUUCCUUAAAUAUCAUAACUUCUUGUUGAUUUGAAAAUCAUUUUUCAACUACCAUGUUUUAAUAAAUAUUUUUUAAAAUGUAUUUUUAUCAAAGUCCACCAUGAUGGAUAAUAUUCACCAUGCAAUAAUUAAUAAAGUACAAACUAAGCGAAAUGAAAAGCAUUUUCUUUGCUUUGAGUUGAUUUUGGUUGCAUUGAGUUGAUUUUGGUUUCAUGGUUUUUUCAACUCUUAUUUUGAUUGGAAGAUGUCAAGAAAAGAAAACAUAAAGAAAAAUUAAAAGGGAAAAAAGAAGAAAAAUAAAAAAAAAUAGAUUUAAAAGUUAAUAAAUUAUUUUUUAUAUUUAUUUUAAUUCAUUUCACUUAUUUUUCUUUUACUAUAUAAAAUUUAAAUAAUUUAAAUUUUAUAAUUAAUUUAAUUACAUUUCAUUUUCUUCUAUAUUUAAAUAUUGGAAAAAUAUUUUACUUAAUAUUUUUUUCUUUAAUUUCUUUGGCAUUUUGGGAACCAAACUUAGCCUUUAAAAUAAAAAACAAAAAAAAAAUGAAAAUAAGGAGGGAAAAGUGAGAAAAGAUAAAAACAAUAUGUAAAGGAUUUGAAAAGUAUUAGUUUGUAAUUACUAUUUGGAUUUCAAUAGUAUUUUAUUUGUCUUUCUAUAUUUCAUGUAAGAGAGAAUUUAAGAUAUUCCCCAAGGCAAAGCAUUAGUUACCUGCAAUCAGUGGUGAUAAGGCUCCAAGCCAAUUUUGGGCCCCAUAUCUUAAGACAGUACAAUUUCCAUUUCAACAUUUCUGAUUUCUCAGAUGUUUCACAUACCACAGAAGAACAUUGUUUGUGAAAAUAUGCAUUUAUGUUGGAUUUUGUAUGCUGUGGGGACUGGGGCAAGGAUCAUAUGGAAGAGUGGUUGACUUUUUCUGUACUUUAACGGUUGAAAUAGGAUAAGCACGGGCAUUUGUGAGGCUUAAUUGAUUUUGAAGCCUGAAAUUGCGUUUCUGUCAUUUUGUCAAAAAAAUGGCAGAUUCCAUACUCAUAUGUUUGGCCUGUGGCCAUGUACAGAUGCCAUUUAGUGACCAGUUUGUAACUGUCAAUCGUUGCGUUUUGACUCUGCCUCAACAACAUCUGCCAUUGACGGGUUUUCAUACUUGCAAAUCAAAUAGUCUUUCGUCCCAUCAGGAAUUUCGGUUUAAAUAUUAUUAAGCAUACGUUUGGCUGACAAUCAUUAUCCAGUUCAUGAUUUGGUUUCUUACCCUUAAUCAAUGGUUUCUAAGUGAAUAUAUGUAGAAGGAAAUCCGAAGUGUAGACAGUAGUAUCGAUAACUCUCAAUAUUCUCUAUAUAAUAGAAUAAACAGCGUCAUAGUGAUCGUCGCCUACAAGCAAGGUACAAAUACCAAAACGAGUGACUCACAUAGACAUCUCCCAACAAGAUGUAGUAGUGACUGACACAUGGACACAAUUAACUCGUAGAAAAGGAUAAGACCAUUGCACAGCAGCUCUUAUUUUACAUACUACUUAUGCUAACCAAAGUCAAUUAGUUGGGAUGGGUGGGAGAUGGAGGUUUGUGCGGUGGCUUGUGGGGCGGAGUUGAUGGCUUCUUUCCAGGAGCUUCUGGCUUUUUCAUCGGAGCUGAAGGAGGCUCAAUCUUAUGAGGCGGCUUGUAUGAGUCUUCUUUACUCUCGACAGGAGGGUGGCCAGGGUUGUGAUCAUAAUGUGGUGGCUUCUCUCCCUUAGGUGGCUUGCCAACUGGGGUUGGUGGCUUGUGUUCAGGAAGUGGUUUCUCUCCCAUGGGAGGUUUAGCAAUUGGGGUUGGUGGCUUGUGUUCUGGGAGUGGCUUCUCUCCCUUGGGAGGUUUAGUAGGUGACUUGUGUUCUGGAGGUGGCUUCUCCACCGGAGGCUUGUGCUCCGGUGGUGGCUUCUUGGUUGGAGGGGGCUUGGGGUAAUCAGCAAGAGAUGGGGUGGUGAGAACCACCAGUCCAAGGAACAACACUAGCAAGUAUGUGGGAGACAUUUUUGAGUUUGGGCUGAUCAGAUGAUGCAAAACUAAAGCAUUACGUGACCUUUUAUAGCAUGUAGCUCCCAAUACCCACUAAGUAUUGUGGGGUCCAUUUGUGCCCUACGGGGUUGAAAACUUAGACAAUUGGGCAAGGACCCACCUGACUAUGGAGGACUAGUGAGGUGUGAUCAUAGCUUUAGGAUUUUUCUUCCUCUGCAGCCGUCGUGCCGUUGGCAUGAUUUUCUUAAUCUUAAAUAAAGGCAUAGUUAUAGAGUUGUUUAAUCUCUAAAUGGGAUUUUAUAUAUAUCUUCAGAUAGCCAUUAAUAUAUUUGAUGAAGAAAGAAAGACAAGUGCAUACAACAUGUAUACGACUAGCUUUCAUGGAGUUCAUUUAUGAUCAGUUUUCCUGUACAUGUAAACCAGGAUCAUAUAUAUGUUUCUGUUCCACAACUAUUUUGGAAUCUUGUUUAUCAGUUUUUAUCAUUAUAAUGUCACAUAGGCUGCCAACUUGGGCGCUAAAAGAACCAGUUGGGCUAGUUCGUUUCAGAAUUUCAAUGUGGAUUCAGGAAUUGUUUUGUAAGAUAUGCGAAAUAGUAGAGGGAUGAAUAGUGUUUCAUUAAUAAAAGUGUCCUGUAAAUUAGAAGGUGUCAUAGAAACUAUAAUCAAUAAAUAACUUUUUUUCCCCACGGGUGGUGUUUCUUGUGGGGAUCAGUGACUGGUUUAGGUUCACCCAAAAUGAGUUCAGACUAAAAUUGGUUUGAGUCAAUGCCGUGUCUCUUUUUUCCAGAAAUCAACUAUUUUAUGCAUUGAAUAAAUCAUACAAAGAAAAUAUGAACGCCCGCAAAACCUAAACCCUGGUUGCUAACUUUCUAUGUUUCAGUUCUAUUCACGCAAGAAUAUUAGUUUAAGUUUGGGAAAAAUGGCAACUUACCUAGUGAUUACUUGGUUUUGGUUUGCGACUAUUUACGCAACCAACCAUGAGUUUGACUUUAACGUCAUGGGUUGAAGCCUCCUACAGGAAGGGAGAAAGCUCCACAGCUAGCUCCAAAAGAGAAUUAUCACAUUGAUAGCUCCAGAGAUUCCCAAGGGGACUGAAUCAAAGACAAGUUCCUCACUUUUUCUUCUUUUGAGGCCAAAUAUGAACCAAGGAUCACACAACCUCAUUCAACUUCAUAAGUUUGAUUUCAUGCAGUUGAACACUGGGUGAAGGCCAUGACAAGAAUUGAUUCAAAAAUUCUAUCACUCUUUUAAGUAAUGGAAGAUUAUUAUCUCUGAUUGGCAUCACAACAGCACAUGCUCCUAGAUCUUUCUAGACACUCCAUGCAAUGAAAGCACAAUGGAUCUUGUAACGAUAGAAACUAAGCCAUGCUACAGUACUAGAUGAUGAGGUAAAACUAGUAGACACGGGUGGCAGCCUAUAUGGGAGGGACACAAGUCUAAUUGAUUUGCAUUUCAGCAUUAUAGAUAGGUAUGUUUUGGAAGAUUUGUUCUGGAAAUACCGCACCAAGUAGGAUUCUUUUUCUCUUUAGUGGGUCCACUUGCAUGCCAAUUAACGAGUUGAAAAGUAUGAGCACCUACCUCGUGCUCGUGGAACCGAAGGUCAGUGAAGUGGGGCUCCUUUUGGCCUCGUGUAAACUUGAUUCAGAAGUGAAGUUAAUAGUCUUCCAUUCAGAUGGAUACAUGGGAAUUUUUCUCUUUUAUUUAUUUAUUUAUUUUUUUUUUGUGUGUGUAUGUCAAAGGAUAAUGAAUGAAGCGCGUUAGCUUGUUUUCUGACUGGAACCGCAGAUGUCCAAAUUGGAGUUCCUUCAUUUCUUACUUAGGAUUGUUACAUGUAUAAACAAGGUAUAAGAAAUAUGCCAACGUGUCUUGAGGAGUUAUUGAUUAGAAAUAACAAGUCACCCGACUGUAGAGUUCCAAGAUUUGAAUCUUCAGACCCUAUAGCAGCCUCUGGGGUACGUGGCAUCCUAUAGCAUAUUAAUGAAGGCUUUUUCGAUUUAGACUUCACAAUACCAAUUAAUAUGUAUGCACAAAAUGGAGAUGACCCCAAAAAAAACAGAAUCGCCAUAGUUUAUGAGGUUAAGGUGAUUCUCCACUUAAUAUCUACAUUAGCUAAUUAUGUAAAUCAAAUGAACUUCUAUUUUUCCUUUUUUUUUUUGGUUUAUGUCAAAUAGUAGCCCAUAAUUAACCCAACCAUUAGCCUGUUUGAAUUGAUUUCACAUGCACAAUGUUGUAGUAGUUCAUAUUUUGAAUUUUAUUUUUACAAAGGUAGUUAAGGAAAAUGAAGUAUAAUAAUUAUAAAAGCAGACUAUAUACACUACAAUAAUUGUUAGAAUGGUAUCUCAAAUUCUAAUUUAAAAUAUUAUUUUUUGUAAAAGAAAUAUUAUAUAGAAUAUUUCCUAAUUUUAUAAAUGAUUAUAAUUAGAUCUUUAUAAAAUAAGGAAAGUUGGUAAGAAUAUCUUUAUAAAUAUUUUAGGUCAUGAGAGAAAGAAAUGGGAUAAAAAUGUGAUGAAGAGGUGAAAUAAGAGAGUUGAUUAGGAUAUAGAUGUGAAGAAGAAAGGGAUUCAAUAUAUAUAUAUCUUUCAAUUACCACAUUAAAACCCUGUGAACCUUUUAUAUGGUUUACUUUAUUUUUAUAUUCCUCCUUUAAUAUAUUUACAUUAAUGCUUCCAUUGGCACAACAAUAACGAAUUACAAAUACAAGCAACAAGUCCCAUGUUUUAUUACCAAAAGCAGGUAAAAUCCACCUAAUAUAUUACAAUAUAUUCAUCCAAUAUUUUAGACCAAUUCUUCACCAUAAAUAUCAUAAUGUGGCUUUUGUUCUUUCUUAAAUUUAAAUUGAAUUGUCUUAUAUCAAUUUGUUUGUGAUUUUUUCAUUAACUUCACUUUCAUUUGGUUAUCUUUGGUUUUUGAAAAGUAUUAAGGAAUUAAUUAACAAAAUAAUGUUAAGAAAAAUAAUUUUCUCUCUUUUGAUUUUGAUUUUGUAGUAGAAAAAUAUAAUUAAAAUUAUUUAAAAAGUAUGUAAUUUUAAAUUAUUUAAUAUUUAGAUAAAAAAAAUAAGUCUAAUGAGUUUAAAAUAACAUAUAAAAAUAAUUUAUUUAUUUUAAAUUUAUUUUUUAUUUUCCAUUAUGUUCUCUUUCUCUUUUACUUUUUCAUAUUUUUUCUUACGAAGAAUCAAACACAACCUCAUAUUAUAUGUCAAGUGUUUGUCUAUAUUUGAGCAAUGUUAGAUACGGCCAUGGAUUCAUCAAACUAAACUGAUUUUAAUAGAUACUUCACAAAUUGAUUUAUACACUAAAUCAUUGGAUAGCAAUGAUGCAUUGGAAUUAAACGUAGGAUGAAGCUCGAAGAACACUGUUUGUGUAACAACAUAUUUAUGAAAUUAUGCAAAGGAUGAGCUUCGGGGUAGUAGUACAAGGUCAUUAAUGGAGAGCCGUGUUAAACCUUGAUUGUGAUUGGAUUCCGUUAUCAGCAACAGCAACCUUGUUUGUAACCUUGAAAGUCAUUCUGUCCACAUCGAAACUCCAAUUUGACGUUUGUAAUUACCAUUCCUGGAGUGUUCCUUGAUUGAAAUUUAAAUAAUAAUUGCGGCCCACAAGGAAUAUUUUCGAUUCUGUGGGAAUUUGACAAGGUUUGUUAGAGAAGACUGGUGACAUGUUGACUUCAAUGGUUCAAAUAGGAGACGUAUGUGGAUUUGGGGGGUUUAAUUGAAACUGAGUCCCUAUGGCUUUUUAAUAUUUGCAUUGAGCAGUCUCCAUGUGACUUCCUAAUUCCCACCAACCCUCCUGUCCAUGCUGUGAAACUAAAUUGUAAUUUAUCAGCCUUUGUCAAUGGUUUCUAAAUUAAAGAUAUAGACCAUGCAUGUACUUUAAUAAAAGCAAAUCUAAAGUGUAGAUAGCAGCAAUGGUGACACCCAAUAUUCUCCAUAAAAUAGAAUUAGAAUAAGCAGUGUUACAUUGUUCAUGAUCACCUACAAGCAUACAAGAACUUCCAUGAAUAACUCAUAGCAAUUGCCAACAGGGCGUCGUAGAGACUCAUACAUAGAACACUAUCCACCCAGAGGAAAGGACAAGACCAGUGCGCUGCAGCUCUUAUUUUUCACAUGUAUACCACCACUCGUAAUAACCAAAUUCACUCAGUUGGGAUAGGUGGGAGAUGGUGGUUUGUGGGGUGGCUUGUGGGGAGGAGUUGGAGGAGGCUUUAUUUUCUGAGGCGGCUUGUAUGAGUGUGCAGGAGGAUGCCCGGGAGUGUGACCAUAAUGUGGUGGCUUCUCUCCCGUAGGUGGUUUGCCAAAUGGGCUUGGUGGCUUCUCUCCCUUAGGAGGUUUACCAAUUGGGGUUGGUGGCUUGUGUUCUGGGAGUGGUUUCUCUCCCUUGGUAGGUUUGCCAAUUGGGGUUGGCGGCUUAUGUUCUGGGAGUGGCUUCUCUCCCUUGGGAGGUUUGCUAAUUGGGGUUGGCGGCUUAUGUUCUGGGGGCGGCUUCUCUCCCUUGGGAGGUUUGCCAAUUGGAGUUGGCGGCUUAUGUUCUGGGAGUGGCUUUUCUCCCUUGGGAGGCUUGCCAAUUGGGGUUGGCGGCUUAUGUUCUGGGGGUGGCUUCUCUCCUUUAGGAGGUUUGCCAAUUGGAGUCGGCGGCUUAUGUUCUGGAAGUGGCUUUUUUCCCUUGGGAGGUUUGCCAAUUGGGGUUGGCGGCUUAUGUUCUGGGGGUGGCUUCUCUCCCUUGGGAGGUUUGCCAAUUGGAGUCGGCGGCUUAUGUUCUGGGAGUGGCUUCUCUCCCUUGGGAGGUUUUGUUGGUGGCUUGUGUUCUGGAGAUGGCUUCUCCCCUGGAGGCUUGUGCUCCGGAGGUGGCUUCUGAAAUGGCGGGGGCUUGGGGUAAUGAGCAAGAGAUGGAGUACUGGUGAGAACCACCAUUCCAAGCAACAAUACUAGCAAGCAUGUGGGAGACAUCUUUGAGUAGUUGUAGCUAAGAUGGCGCAACACUGUAGGCAUUGGGUGGCCUUUUAUAAAGGGCUGGACCCAACAGCCAUAUGACACGUGUCAUGAUGACAAAUGAAGUUGAGGGGAUCCAGAUGGGUCCUACUGAGUCGAAAACUUGCACUAAUUGAUCUGGUGAGAUGACUAUUUCUGUCCUUUUGCCCUUCUCGGCCACCCUGUGCUGUUUUCCUUUUGCACGAUUUUCGUUGCCAAACAAGCAAAUAAUAUUUCGCCAAGAAAGAGGAGAGUGAAUGUGGAAUGCAUCAAGUCCCAUCAAGGAUGGCAGAGAAGAAAUAGAAGAUUGCCCAACUGUGAUAAACAUAGCAUACACGUAGCACCAGGAACUUCAUUUACUUCCAUCUAAUGGAACAUAACAAUCUUCUAAAGUUUUUGCAUGAUUUUGUUAUAUGUCUCUUAGCCUAAAGUUGGAAAUGCGCAACAAAUUUUGUCACUUCUCUAUUUCCCACUGAUGAUGUUAAUUAGCCUUCAUAGAUAUCAUCCUUUCUACAAAGUGCUUCAUUUGUGUGUUAUUGUAAAGUGUAAGAAAAGUAAUUGAACAUGUUCUUUUUCCUUUCAUAGAUGACUUUUGAUGUGCAUUUUAAAAGCAGCGCUGUGAGUCGGUGACCUUGAUUCACACGGAAACUAAGGCUCCUAUAGGACCCACUUUUAGCUGGUUAGGGGUGAAGAAAAUAUCAACUUUUCAGAGUGAUUUAAGUCAAGGCCAAGCCUCACUGUGUCAUUACUCGUGUGAAUUUUAUAUGCACAUACAUACAUAAAUAAAGUAUGAGACCCAAAUAACACCUUCCCUUUACAAACUUAACCCCAGCCGCUCUCUUUCAAUUCUUUUCACACAAGGGUAUUGACUCUAUAAAGGUCAAGAAAAUCAUAAUUUCCUAGGGUUUACAAGGUAAUUGGCUUAAUGCUAAUGUGAAAACAUAAAAGAUAAUAGUAUAUUGUAAGCUAACGAAUAUUCUAUAGUUAUAAUUAUUUGUGAUGUGCAUAAAUAAAUCUUCAUAUAUAUAAUGGAACAAUGAAUAAAGAACCAAUGAAAAAAUACUAUAUAUCAUUGCUUGGCAUUUAAACCGUAUAUGCUGCUCUUUCUAGCUACUCCAUCCACUGAAAGACAACAAGGUAAUCCAUGUUAUAAUGAUAGAAGAUACUGUCUCUAGGCUUUUUGUGAUGAAAAAUAUAAGAUAUGGGUAGGGUUGACCCUUGUAUGUUUGUCCUAUAAACACUUCAAAGUAACAUAUUUUUCUUCUUUAGCAACUCAUAAUGAUGGGGUUCAUUUGCAUGUCACUGAGUUGAAAAGUUGGACAAUUGCCCAUGUCGCCUUCCUCCUAGAUUCCGUAGUUCACGGGAAGGUAACUCAAGUUUGACAUAUUUUGAAUUCUUUUCACUCGGACGUCUUCAUAACCUGACAAAACAAAAAUGAAAAACAGAGGAUUGGUAUAUUAUUCAUGGUAAGCCUCAAAUUAUAGUAGUAUGAGAAAGGAGAAAAAGAUUUUGGGAACUCCAAUCUGGAUAAUUCUCGUUUCUUCUCUUGAAUAAAAAUUUCACUUACCUAACUUCGUUUGGAGAAAUGGCAUAUUUUAAUUUUGUACGUCAUUGCUAAUAAAUGGAGCAAUUUAGCAUGUUUUGUGACUGAAACUGCAAAUGUCCAAUUGGCAUUUCUUCAUUUCCCACUUAGGAUCUGAUCUUGUAGACCAUAUAACGAUAUGUAUCUGUGCAAGCAUUGAAAACUAAUGUGAACUAUGAGGAGUUACAAGCCACUGGACUGUAGAGCGAGUGCCAAGAUUUAAAUCUUCAGGCUCUAUCUGGGUAAGGGGAGGAUAGCGACCUAACCUUUUACCAAAGGCUUAGAAUUUAGACUUUUGGAAAAAAAUUUCUCAUGUUUUGGCUGGAUUUCUUGUGCUUGGCGCAAAAAGGAGAUGGCCUCAAGAAAUAGCAGACUCACUUUUGUUUUCAGCCCUUAAUAAUUCUCCACUGCUUUCCAUAACUACAUGGGUUAUACAUGCAGUCUGCUGCAAUAUUCCAGUUAUAUUUAUUAUUUCAAAGAGGGUGAAUGACUUCACAUGCAAUAUGUUGCAGUAACAACCCAAAUUUUGGCACACCAUCUUAAGAAUAGAAAAGUAUAAUAAAAGAAAUCAAUCAGAGAAUCACUUUGCAUGCAGUUCAUAGAGUUCGCCCAAAAUGGAGCCACAUGUACGGACAACCCCACAAUAGACAAUCUUCUCUAUACAGUAAUAAAAUACAGAAAUGGUUAAUGAAGCUCUGUAUUUCCUUAUCAUAUAUGACCGGUUGAAAACUCAGCAAGUCUUCCUCAAUCACAGACAGUUGGAGUUGCUUCAUCAAAAUCAUGCCUUCAUUACUGGCUUCAUUUUGGUUUCAAUGUCUGUUCUACCCUUAAAUUGGGUCUCUGCUUACUACCGGGAUAUCCUUUAGCGUCCUGCAAUUCUACUAGAUUAAAGAGAAUGACUUAAUUCUGCAUUCUGCCGUCCCUAGUCCAAGUGGUACUAGAAUUGAUGUUUCCUUUAGUGUCCUUUCUUCAUACUUUCAGGUUCUUCCCUUGUUUCAAUAAUGCUGUUUUCCUUCAUGUUUAACCUCUGUUGAACCACUUAAAACAACACAAUUUGCACACCAAUGUUUCUUUACAGAAAAGACUGUUUGCAAAAAUGCACAUGUUAUAAGGUUAAUGGAAGAAUUAAUUUGGGGAUAAGGGACUAGGAUUGGGCCAAUGAAGUUUGGUGUUAAAUUUUGAUUAUGAUUGCUUUUCAUUAUCAGGUACCUUAUAUUUGCUGAUGCUAUCUGGAACUAAAUUCAAAUCAGACAUUAUCCGAUUACUAACAGGACAUAUCAUGUCCCUCUGCAGAGUUUCUAAACUAACAUGUAUCGAAAUGUGGCCCCAAAAGGAAGGCUAGGAAGAUGGAGGAUUUUGUAGGAAUCGACCAGAAUCAGAUGGAAGAGAGAUAGUCCUGUUGACUUUAAUGGUUGUGAUAGGAACAUGCAUCAUUAUAUGAGAAGUUGCAUGAAUUUAUGUAUCCUGUUAUCGUUCCUUGACGAUUUCCCAAUGCAAUUUCACUGUCCACAAGACUAACCUCUCCAUGCAGUCAAAUGAAUUGUAAUUUCUCUAUUGGUACCAGUAGUACAUUUCAUACCAAACAUAUAGUAAAUAUAAAAUAUAAAUAGAUCAAGGAAAUCUGAAUUGUAGAUAGCACUGCAAGUAACACUCAAUAUUCUCUAUAUAUAAUAAAAUAAACAGUGUCACAAUACUCAUCACCCAGUGGCAAGGGAGAAAAACCUACAAUGAGUACUCAAAUCACCAUUCUCAAACAGAAACAUAGCAGUGACUGAUACAUAGAACCUAUAUGCUCACAGGGAAAGAAUAAGAUGACCAGUGCACAGCGGGCAGCAGCUCUUAUUUUACGUACAACUCAAAUCCCAAACUAACCAAAGUCGCUCAGUUGGGAUGGGUGGGAGAUGGUGGUUUGUGGGAUGGCUUCUGGGUAGGAGCUGGUGGCUUCUGUCCCUUUGGUGGUUUGCCUAAUGAGCUUGGUGGCUUGUGCUCCGGGAGUUGUUUCUCUCCCUCGAGUAGGUUUCGAGUCUUGUCAGAUGGCUUGUGUUCUGGUGGUGGCUUCUCUCCCUGGGGUGGUUUGCCGAAUGGGCUUGGUGGCUUGUGUUCGGGGAGUGGCUUCUCUCCCUGGAGAAGGUUACGAGUUUUGUCAUAUGGCUUUUGUUCUGGUGGUGGCUUCUCUCCCUGGGGUGGUUUGCCGAAUGGGCUUGGUGGCUUGUGUUCGGGGAGUGGCUUCUCUCCCUGGAGAAGGUUACGAGUUUUGUCAGAUGGCUUGUGUUCUGGUGGUGGCUUCUCUCCCUGGGGUGGUUUGCCGAAUGGGCUUGGUGGCUUGUGUUCGGGGAGUGGCUUCUCUCCCUGGAGAAGGUUACGAGUUUUGUCAGAUGGCUUUUGUUCUGGUGGCGGCUUCUCUCCCUGGGGUGGUUUGCCAAAUGGGCUUGGUGGCUUGUGUUCGGGAACUGGCUUCUCUCCCUUGGGAGGUUCAGUUGGUGGCUGCUGUUCCGUAGGUGGUUUCUUCACCGGCGGCUUGUGCUCCGGAAGCGGCUUCUCUACCUGGAGAAGCUUACGAGUUUUGUCCGAUGGCUUGUGUUGUGGUGGUGGCUUCUCUCCCUGGGGUGGUUUGCCAAAUGGAGUUGGUGGCUUGUGUUCGGGGAGUGGCUUCUCUCCAUUGGGAGGUUUAGUUGGUGAUUGGUGUUCCGUAGGUGGUUUCUGAAGUGGGGGAUGCUUGGGGUAGUCAGCAAGAGACGAGGUAGUGAGAACCACCAGUCCCAGCAGCAACACUAGCAAGCAUGUGGAAGACAUCUUUGAGUUCAGGCUGAGAUCUGUGCAAGGAUAACAGAAUUAGGUGGCCUUUUAUAGAGGCCUGGACCCAACACCCAUAUGACACGUGUCAUGCACUCAUGGUGACACAUAAUUCUAUGGGACCAUUUGGGUCCUACAGAAGUUGCAAAGUUGGACUACUGAGGUGUGAUCACAACUUUUGUCCUUAUUGCUUUCUCUGCGGCCAUUGCACGAUUUCCUUUAGCAUCAUUUUCUUGGCUAAAUAAGCGUAUUAUAUUUGUGGCAGACCGUCCACGUGUCAUAAACAGAUAUAUUAUAAUAAUGUAGUAUGCUUUUCUCCAAUGGAACAUGACACUCUUCUAAGUCUUGUUUUAAAUAUUGUGCAGGAUUACUUUAUACGUUGCAGUUCCAAGUCAAAAUUGGUGGGCAAACGUUGGCCUUUUUUCAUUUCACCUAAGAUUAAUGCUCACCUGGGAUAGGCACUACAUGACUUAUCUGCUCUUUUACUGUAAAGUUGCUUUGUGUAUGAGAUACACCUCCCCUGCACACCCUCAACAUUCGUUGCUCUGUUUUCCUUGUGUCCAGACGAGGAUAUUAAUUGGAGGCUGACAAAACGACUGCUAGCCCAGGAUUUACAAGGUCCUGGUUUGAGGCUUCGGUGAAAGUAUUUUUGAAAAGACACACAUAGAGAUAGUGCGUUUGGUGCAAUGCAGCACUGUGAGCCAUUCUGACGCGUUCUUAAUUUCAAAACUAAUGAAUGCUUCAAAAUUUUAAGAAGUGACAUUUCCAAAUAUUUGAGUUCGUUUAAUUGAACAUUGGAUAACUAGUGAUCAUAGAUUAUUAUCUGUGCUUGGCACUAUAAGAGGGUAUAUGCUUCUUUUUCUGGCCCCUCCUUCAAGGGAGGAGGGACAAUGUGAUCUGUAACGUUAGAAGCUAUUCCAUGUCAUCUUUGGGCUCAGUUCAAAACUAAAAGAUAAUGGGGGGGGGGGGGGGGGGCAUAUCAUUUUAUAUUUCUUCUAGAAGGUUUGUUCUGGAAAUAUUUCACAGGAGCAUAUCUUUUUCUUCUAUUACGUCAUCCGCAGCCUCCAAUAGGUCGGUUAACAAGCCACCGAGUUGAAAAGUUGGAAAAAUGGGAACACAGCCCGCCUCUUGUAUUCAGUAGUUAAAUAAAAGGUCACUAGAAGUGAGAUCCCUUUUGGCGUCUUGAUUUUCAAUCCAGCACCUCUGUGACCUGACAAACCAAAAAAACUAAAAAAUAAAAAACAGUACGUGGGUUGGUGUUAAGCAUCAAGACAUGUUAAUGAAAGAAGGUAGAGAAUAGGAUAUUGAAAUCCCAAUCCUGAUAACAUGAUUUUCUUUGCUAACAACCAUAUUAUAUUUUAUCAAGAAAGAGUAAUGCAUGUGGCGUCCAUCAAGACCCAUUAGAGUUCCGCUAAAGCUAUAGUUCUGUCAACGUUAUCAUUUACGUUUCCUCUAGAUAAUGGCAUUUUCCUCUAAAGCUCUUGCACCAUUAGGCUUCAAGUCAAAAUUUCACAUGUGAACUUUGGAAAUUUUCUCCAUUUGCCCCUAAGGAUACAGUUAGAAUUGACUUAAAAUCCUGAUUGAUAUGUACUAUUAACCAAAGAAUAUUGUAUAUAAUAAUUGAAAUAUUGUUGAUUCAUCGUGGAAAUACAUUUUGUAAGGAAAGUUGUUGAGAAUUUAGUAUGCUAUAUGGAGAAAAAAGUCAUGACUUAAGGUUGUGUAUGUAUAUUCUAUAUCAAAUAUUAGGUAGGAAUGUGGGAAAGAGCAGAGUGUAAUGAUAAGAAACAAAGAAAUAUAAGAUAUUCUUGAAAGUGGAAAAUAUAAAAUGGCUAACGAGUCAAAUUUAUGAUGCGUAAGGGGGAUCAUGUCACAUAAGAAAACCAUGGCAUACUAAAGACGUACGUGUGGUAUGGAGUAAUAAUUUUGUUAAAAUAAGUUUCUUGUUGGAGUACAUUAGGUGACUAUUCAUAACGUAUCAAAUUAAAGAGUCAAGUGCAUCAAUGAAGGCAUAUGUAGAAAAUUUGUUUGUGACAUGUACCAUAAAGAUAAGAUUGACUUGAUAGAAUUUAGUCUAAGUAGGAGUUGUUAAAGGUGUCUUAAAUUUCUAAUUGAUGUAUAUUUUUUUCUAAAAAAAUAUUAUAUAGAUAUUUUAAUAAAUGAUUAAUUCUUUGUAAAAAUACUUACAUAAUAAAAAACAUCAUUAAAAAUAUCUUUAUAAAUAUUUUAAGUUACAAGAAGGAAAAAAACCACUGUGAGAUAAUGAUGAACAUGCAACACUGUACCAAGUAAAUAAAAAUGUGAUAAAAAAAAAAGAGAAACACUCGAUAAAGGAAGGCUCGUAUAUAAAGAGUAAUAUUUUUAAUCAUAUGAUAGAAUGAUUUUCUCUCAUUCAUGAAUAUAGGCAAGAUUGGGGAACCAUUAUAAAAUUUUGUACACCUCGUGUAAAUUGAUGUUUGUCUUCAUAUUUUACACCAACAAAUGACAUUGAAGUUGUCAUUGAUAAAAGGGAAAAGGCAUGCCUCCACACCAUGUGCUUGAUUCGAAUGGUUCAAGUUUGAAGAAUUUUCUCCGGAAGAUCUAAAACAUUUUCGCCUUUAAAUUUCAUUUGAUUAUUAAUAUCCGAAAAAAUAGUUAAAUACUCUUUCUAUUUUUGAGUUGUUGAAUUUUUUGAAAGUUUUUAUAUUUGUUAUCAAGAAUUUCUAUUUUAUUAAGGGUGAAUAUUUAUAAAUAAGAUAUUAUAUAAUAUUUGGAUAAGAGAGAAUGGUGGAAUAUAAUAAAGUUUUAAUCCUUCCCAAUUUUGAACCUUUUUUUUUUUUUUUGAUAUAAUCGCCUUUCUCUUGCAAUCCUAUUAUCAGGUACCUUAUAUUUGCUGAUGCUAUCUGGAACUAAAUUCCAAUCAGGCAUUGUCCAAUUACUAAUAGGACAGAUCAUAUCUCUCUGUUUCUAAACUAACAUGUAUCGUAAUGUGACCUCAUAAGGAAGGCUAGGAAGAUGGAGGAUUUUGUGGGAAGCGACCAGAAUCAGAUGGAAGAGAGAUAGCCCUGUUGACCUAAUGGCUGUAAUAGGAGAAGCGUGUGGUUUUAUGGGACUUAACUGAUACUAAACCUGUAUGAUGCUUGGAGUGGUGUUUCUUUCAUUUUGUUAAGAAAAUAUGGCAGCAUACAUGCUUUCAACUGAGUGCAUCAGAGCAUCCAUAACAGAUGGUCUGCAACCCUAGGUGCAUGCCACUUUCUGACUGAUAAUGAAAUUGUCAGGUACCUGGCCUUGACUAAGCUCAACAGCAUCACAUAAAGAGAAGCUUUCAUACUUAGAUUACUGUUUAAAGUUUUUGCUUAUUUGAUUUCUUAAUGCCAUUAUGACAUUAUUGAUUCAAUUCUGCUUCCGAUUUUCGAAGUUCUGGGCAUCUACUGAUUGCAUCAUUAUAUGAGAAGUUGCAUGAGUUUAUGUAUCCUGUUAUUGUUCCUUUGCGAUUUCACUGCUCACGGGACUAACCUCUCCAUUCAGUCGAAAUGAAUUGUAAUUUCUUUACUGGUAGCAGUAGUACUUUUCAUAGCAAAGAUAAUAGAAAAUAUGAAAUAUAAAUAGAAGGAAAUCUGGAUUGUAGAUAGCACCAUAAGUAACACUCAAUAUUCACUACAUAAUAAAUAGACAGUGUUACAUAGGUAGAGAAACCUACAAUGAGUACUCAUCACCAUUCUCAAACAGAAACAUAGCAGCGACUUAUACAUAGAACCUAUAGGCUCGCAGGGAAAGAGUAACAUGAUAAGUUCACAGCGGGUAGCAGCUCUUAUUUUACGUAUUACUCAAAAUCUCAAACUAACCAAAGUCACUCAGUUGGGAUGGGUAGGAGAUGGUGGUUUGUGGGGUGGCUUCUGGGUAGGAGCUGGUGGCUUCUUUGUUGGAGUUGAAGGAGGCAUAUUCUUCUGAGGUGGCUUGUAUGACUCUUCGGCACUCUCUGCAGGAGGGUGCCCAGGGUUGUGACCAGAAGGAGGUGGCUUCUGUCCCUUUGGUGGUUUGCCUAAUGGGCUUGGUGGCUUGUGCUCCGGGAGUUGUUUCUCUCCCUCGAGUAGGUUUCGAGUUUUGUCAGAUGGCUUGUGUUCUGGUGGUGGCUUCUCUCCCUGGGGUGGUUUGCCGAAUGGGCUUGGUGGCUUGUGUUCGGGGAGUGGCUUCUCUCCCUGGAGAAGGUUACGAGUUUUGUCAGAUGGCUUUUGUUCUGGUGGCGGCUUCUCUCCCUGGGGUGGUUUGCCAAAUGGGCUUGGUGGCUUGUGUUCGGGAACUGGCUUCUCUCCCUUGGGAGGUUCAUUUGGUGGCUGGUGUUCCGUAGGUGGUUCCUUCACCGGCGGCUUGUGCUCCGGAAGCGGCUUCUCUACCUGGAGAAGCUUACGAGUUUUGUCAGAUGGCUUGUGUUGUGGUGGUGGCUUCUCUCCCGGGGGUGGUUUGCCAAAUGGACUUGGUGGCUUGUGUUCGGGGAGUGGCUUCUCUCCAUGGGGAGGUUUAGUUGGUGGUUGGUGUUGCGUAGGUGGUUUCUGAAGUGGGGGAUGCUUGGGGUAGUCAGCAAUAGACGAGGUAGUGAGAACCACCAGUCCCAACAGCAACACUAGCAAGGAUGUUGAAGACAUCUUUGAGUUCAGGCUGAGAUCUGUGCAAGGAUAAAAGAUUUAGGUGGCCUUUUAUAGAGGGCUGGACCCAACACCCAUAUGACACGUGUCAUGCACUCAUGGUGACACAUAAUUCUAUGGGACCAUUUGGGUCCUACAGAAGUUGCAAAGUUGGACUAUUGAGGUGUGAUCACAACUUUUGUCCUACUUGCUUUCUCUGCGGCCAUUGCACGAUUUCCUUUAGCAUCAUUUUCUUGUCUAAAUAAGCGUAUUAUAUUUGUGGCAGACCGUCCACGUGUCAUAAACAGAUAUAUUAUAAUAAUGUAGUAUGCUUUUCUUCAACGGAACUUGACACUCUUCUAAGUCUUGUUUUAAAUACUGUGCAGGAUUACGUCAUAAGUUGCUUGUUCCAAGUCAAAAUUGGUGGGCAAACGUUGGCCUUUUUUCAUUUUCCCUAAUAUUAAUGCUCACCUGGGAUAGGCACUACAUGAUUUAUCUGCUCUUUUACUGUGAAGUUGCUUUGUGCAUGAGUUACACCUCCCCUGCACACCCUCAACAUUUGUUGCUCUGUUUUUCUUGUGUCCAGACGAGGAUAUUAAUUGGAGGCUGACAAAACGACUGCUAGCCAAGGAUUUACAAGGUCCUGGUUUGAGGCUUUCACGAAAGUAUUUUUGAAAAGAUACACAUAGAGAUUGCGCGUUCGGUGCAAUGCAACAAUGUGAGCCAUUCUGAAGUCUUAAAUUUCAGAUUAAUGAAUGCUACAAAAUUCUAAGAAGGGCCGUUUCCAAAUAUUUGAGUUCAUUCAUCCGAACAUCGGGUAUAUGCUUCUUUCUCUAGCCCCUCCUUGAAGGGAGGAGGGACAAUGUGAUCUGUAUCGUUAGAAGCUAUUCCAUGUCGUCAUCUUUGGGCUCAGUUCAAUACUAAAAGAUAUGGGCGGGGCCCUUAUCAUUUUAUAUUUCUUCUAGAAGGUUUAUUCUGGAAAUCUUUCACAGAAACAUAUCUUUUUCUUCUCUACGUGAUCCGUGGUUUGAAAGUUGGAAAAAUGGGUCCGUUAACAAGCCACCGAGUUGAAAAGUUGGAAAAAUGGCAACACCGCCAACCUCUUGUAUUCGAUAGUUAAAUAAAAGGUCACUGGAAGUGAGAUCCCUUUUGGCCUCUUGAUUUUCAUUCCAGCAUCUCUAUGGCCUGAUAAAUUAAAAAACUAAAAAAAAAGACAGUACGUGGGUUGGUGUUAAGCAUCAAGAGUCAAGACAUGAUAAUGGAGAGAAAGGAUAUUCAAAUUCCAGUUCUGACAACAUGAUUUUCUUUGCUGAACUACCAUAUUAUAUUUGAUCAAGAAAGAGUAGUGCAUGUGGCCAGGAUCAAGACAUACAUUAAUUUCCACAUGAUGAAGACAGUUUCUGAGAGUUUCUUCUAAAGCUCUUGCGCGAGUAGGCUUCAAGUCAAAAUCUCCCAUGUAAACACUGGUUUUUCUUUCAUUGCCACUAAGGAUGCAGUUAAUAUUGACUUAAGAUCCUACGUGAUAUAUUUUUUUAAAAGAGCUAUAUUGUAGAUAAUAUUUGAAAUAAUGUUGAUUCGUUGUGGAAAUAUAUUUGUAAGGAAAGUUGUUGACAAUUUAAUAUAGUAUAAGAAGAAAAAAGUUAUCAACUAGCUAGAGAUGAGUAUGUAAAGUGAGGCUCACGAUUCAACGCGUAAAUAUAAGAUAUUUUAAGGCUCAAUAGUUAUGAUAUCUAUUUUAUUUUUUGUAUCUCAUAUAUUCAAAGAUAUAGUAAAAUGAUUUUACAUAUAUAUAUAUAUAUAUAUAUGAACAUAACUAUUUGUGCCAAUUGAUUUUUAUCUUUAUUUUGUAUAUUAGUAAUUAUAUUAAAGUUUUUACUAAUAUAAUAACUAAUAUAAAAGCUUUUUCUAAAAGAGUCAACAGAGCAAAACACUUAUUAUAAAAAAUAAUUUUGAUUGAAGGUGGAGUCAAUUAUUCUUUAUUUAACAUGUAAUGCAUACGGCGUGUACUUCAUAACUAAAGUAUAUAAGUGUAACAUCUCUUAUAUAUUCUCAUUCAAUCUCGAAAGUGGAAAUUUUAAAAAGAUUAAACGGUUCAAAUUUGUCGUGCAUAAAGGGGAUCAUGUCACAUAAGCAAACCAUGGCAUACCAAAGACAUAGGUAUGGACUAAGAAUUUUUUUCAAAUAAGUUUCUUAUUAGGGUACAUUAAUAGGUGACUUUUUAUGACAUAUCAAAGGAGUCAAGUGCACCAAUAAAAACAUAUAUAGAAAAUUCAUGCAUGACAUGUAUCACUAAGAGAAGAUUGACUUGAUAGAGUUUAAUCCAAAUAGGAGAUUGUUAAAAGGUGUCUCAAAUUCUUGAUUGAUAUAUAUUUUUUUUAUUAAAAAGGUUAUUAUAUAGAUAUUUCAAUAGACUAUUAAUUCUUUGUAAAAAUAGUUAUAUAAUGAGGAUGGUGAUUAAAAAUAUCUCUAUCAAUAUUUUGGAUUAUAAAAAGAAAAAAAAUGAGAUAAUGAUAAACAUAUAAAACUUGUACAAGUAGAUAAAGAUGUGAUGAAAGACACUUGAUGAAUGAAGGCUUUGUAUUUCAAGAUAUAAAUAUAUGGAGCAAAACUCUUAAUUAUAUGAUCAAAUGAUUCUCUCAUAUUCAUGAAUAUAAGCAGGAUUGGGGAACCAUGAUAGAAUCUUAUAUGCCUCUCCAUGUAGAGUGAUCGAUGUUUAUCUUCAUAUUUUACACCAGUGAAUGACAUUGAAACUCUUAUUGAUAAAAGGGAAAAGGCAUGGCCUCCACCCCAAGAAAAACAAGUAACCUCGGUUUAAAUCACUAGUCUACACCCCGAAGAGAGAACUAGCCAAACCUACUAAAAGAGAAACUUAACAAUUUAGAAAGAAACCGUCCAUGAUAAAGGGCCCCUAAAGGUCCAAUUCAGUGAGGUCGUGAACAAAAACACUUUCAUGUCAAAACAGAGAUAGGUACCACCAAAAUGUAAAGGGAAAGAUGUAAACCACGUCGAACUUUGGUAAUCAAUGGUAAAGAUAGCAUGAUAGCUAAAAGCACUAAAGCUGUGCUUGGUAUGCAAAAAUGAAAAGUGGAAAUCAGCGUCUUAUUCUUUUUCACCUUUAUUCACAUAUUAGGAUAACUAAUAUCUAAUGUUUUUUAUGUCUCAAAUUCUAUUCCAUGUUAUGGUAAACUUUCAUCUUGUUUAGAUCACUUUUGUCUGGUUUGGGCUCAAGACGAUAAGCCUAUAGAGACUUCAUAUUGGGUUGAAUCGAUGCCCUUGAUCUGAUCUGUUCGUUAGAAAAAUCUGAAUUAUUAUAAGCAUUUAGAUAAAAAAUAAAUAAAUGUGAAACACAAACUACUCCCUGCACAACCUUGACCCUAGUUACUCAGUUUCACUGCUCACAGGACUAACCUCUCCAUUCAGUCGAAAUGAAUUGUAACAAGAAGAUUUUUGACAGGAGGACGGUAGUUUAAAAUAAUAAUUUCUAAAGUACUUUUGUGAAAAAAAAUAAUUCCAAACGUGGAUUUUAUCAAGUAAAAAGAAAAAAAAAAGUUAUUUUCUUUUAAAAUCUGUUCUUCUAAAGAUGAUAUAUAUACCAAAAAAAAAAAUUGUUUUCUGAAGGUAAAAUUUUUAAAAUUCAUUUUUAAAAAAAUUUACACACUAAAAUUAUCUUUUCAAGAGAAGAUUUUUUUAAUUUUAAAUAAUUAUUAAUUUAUAAUUAAUUUGUUAUUAAUUAUUUAUUAAUUUUUUUAUUUGAAAAAUGCAUUUAUAAAAAACAAAUUUGUUAUUAAUUUAUUAAAUAAUUUUUACAAAAUAAAUAAUUUUUUUUUAUUUUAAUUUUAAAAUUAAUUUUAUUAUAUAAAUUUUAAAAUUAAAAAUAUUAAUAUUUAAUUUAAAAUUUAACUAUAAAAGGAAUAAAAUAUAGAAAAAUAAAUUAAUUUAUUAUUCAAUAAAUUAAUUUUCAAUAAAAUUUUCAGCAUUAAGAGAUAAAUUUUUAAGUAUUAAUCAAUUUAAAAAGAAAUAAUGAUCAUUUGUAUAUUAAGAUAUUUUAUUUAGUAAUUAUGAAUGAUAAACAACUAAAGUAAUUUGAAAAAAUAAUAAAAUAUUUAAAAAAUAAUAAUUUAAUACACGUAAAAUUAGAAAUGAUUAACUAUUUUUUAUUAAGAAAAAAUUGAGGAAAUAUUUUGUUAUUUAAAAUUUUUUAUUUGUUUUCAAUUUUUAAUGUUAUAGGUUUCAAGAAAAUUGAUCAAAUAAAAAUUAAGAAGUCAUUUUUUCAAAAACUAUAUAUCUAAAUAAAAGCCUUGAAAUUCAAAUACACAAUAUCAUAAAUAUAAACACCAAGUCAAUCCUUAAUUAUCAAAUGUUUUUAAUAUUAAAGAAUCAAAAUCACCUACUAUCAUGAUAAUAAGAAAACCAAUAAUAUUGUUCAUAUAAAUACUAAAAAGCUAACAAAUAUCCCAAACAAUUAAUAAAGUAUCAAACAUGAUAAAAAGUCAAUUAUUAUCAUGAAUGCAAAAAAUCAAUAAUUUUGUUUAUAUGAACCAUCAACAAAGAAAAAAAAAAUCAAUAUCUAAAUAUUAAACAUAAUUUAUAUUUUUAUAAAUAUUAUUGUUGAUAAAUAUCUUAACAAUUAUAAUUUUAGUAAAUAAAAUUAAUUAAUUUUAGUUUAAGAAUUAUUUUUUUAUACUUUCGUAUUCUUAUCAAAAAUCCCCAUUUUGCAUGUCUCCUUUGGCAUGACUUUCUUACCUAAACAAGCAUAUAUAUAUAUAUAUAUAUAUAAAAUAUUUGGUUAAGAAAGAGUACUAAAGUUUAUAUGGCACACAUCAAGAUAGAAACAGAAGUGGAAGAUAAUCCAAAUGUAUGAACAGAUAUAUUAUAUCCAUGUAGUGGUAGUGACUUCAUUAUUUACUUUUAUCUAAUGGAGCAUGACACACUUCUUCUGAAUAUUUUGCACGAUUAUGUUAUGUGUCAGCUUGUUCUAAGUCAAAACUAGUGAUAAAAAUCGGUUUUUUUUGCAUUUCCUUCAUGAAGAUGGCACCUGGAUGGGGCACUACAUGAGUGGCAUAGCACGAAGUGAUUUAUCUGCUCCCUUUACUAUAAAGUGCUUUGUGUAUAAGUUACACCUCCCCUGCACUGCCUCAACAUUUGUUGUUCUGUCUUCCGUCUGUCCAAACGAGGACAAACGUAUGUUGUAGGUUGACAAAACCACAGCUAGCCUAGGAUUUGCAAGGAUCUAGUUUGAUUCGUAUGCAAAAGGAUUGGUGAAAAGAUUCACAAAGAUAAUGCUUUUUGCAAUGCAAUCUUGUUCUAAUUCAACAGUGUGGACCAUUUUCAUGUAAUGCUUCAACUAGAUGUCAGUUUCAUGAAUUUUUGUUCAUCUAAUUGAUCACUGGAUAGGCCAUAACCCGAAGAAAUUCAAAAUUCCCUUCAGUACUGUAGCUAAGGAAAGAUCCCUAUCUACCACUGGGAUUUUAAGAGGGUAAAAAUGUAGGUGGGUGCCUAUAUCAUUUGCACUUCACUAUAGGCCUCUUUGGGAAGAUUUCUUCUGAAGACAUUUCAAAGAAACAUAUUUUUCUCUUCUCUCCGUAAACGGCAGCUGCAAGUCAGUCCAUUCACAGGCCACCGAGUUGAAAAGGCUGGAAAAUUGGCCAAAGCACCCGCCUCCUGGAUUCCAUGGGUAAGGAAAAGGUCACUGGAGGUGUGAUCCCUGUUGGCCUCUUGAUUUCCAUUCCGCCAUCUAUAUGACCUGAUAACCCAAAAACACAGAAGGAAAACGUCACCUGGGUUCAUAGUAAGCAUCAAGUCAUGAUAGAGACCAGACAACAUGACCAACAAAGAGUAGCGAAUGGGGCCAACAUCAAGCCCCAUUACGGUUAGAAGAUGGAAGAAGUAGAAGACAAUCCAAUUCUGAUAGAUUCGGGCAAAUGUAGUGCUGUUCAAACUUAAUCAUUUACUAUUUCUUCAUGAAUCACGGCAUUUUUCUUCUGAAAAUUUUCCAAGAUUAGGCCUCUGAAGAAAAAUUUCAUAUGUAAAUUGGUAUAUUAAGGAAAAGGCGUUACAAAGGUGAAAAAAAACCAAUCAAAUCUUAUAUAUGACAUCUCAAAAAUAUGAACUUGCUAUAAAUAUUUAAAAUCAAAAUCUUGCACAUCACCUCGUAGUACGAACUUGCUAUAAAACUUGAAAAUCAAGAAGAAAGGGGCAGUAUUGGACGAGACUACUUAGCACAUAUUAUUAUGAUGUUUUUUCAUUUUCUUAAUGUUGUUUUUAUGUCUUAAAUUCUAUUAUUCUAUGUUACGGUAAACAUUCAUCUUGUUUGUGUGGAAUAGGAUCACUUUUCUCUGGGUUGAGUCGAUGCCCUUAGUUAAUUUGUUCAUUUGAAUAAACUAAAUUAUUAUAAGUAUUUAGAUAAGAAAAACGUGAUACAUAAAUUACGCCUCUCGGCACAACUUCAACACUGGUUACUCUGUUUCAGUUUCCUCACACAAGAUUAUUGGUUCUAGGGUUUAUUUGGUUUUGGUUUGAUUCUAAUUGCUAAACUUUCUCAAGGAAGAUGUUAUAUAGGGAGUGAGAAACCUUCACUCUUGGCUACCUCCAAGAGAAGAGCAAGUGGUCUGAAUCAAAGAUAUACUGCUCACUUUUUCUUCUUCUAAGGACAGCUAUGACCUUGCUUUAAGGUUCGAAUAGCCUAAUGCAACCUCCCAUUUCUCAAGUCAGCUGAUGAUGUAAGUCACCUUGGCUUUCCACAUUCAUACGGUGAGGACGUUUGUGGGUGUAAUUCUCUUAACAGUUUUCAUUUUAUAUGGAAAAAUUCAUAAUUAAGGGUAAUUACUGAUUCCAUUUGACAGUGACCAAGUUUAAAAUAUUAAUUCAUAUAUUAAAUGCACAUUAAAAAAUCAUGGAAUAAAUAUAUUUACUAAUAUAUAGUUCUUUUGCCAUGUUCUGUCACAGAAGCAUCGAACUUUCCCUAGAAAUUUUUGCAUGGUAUUCUACUUAUGAUUUUGAAAACUCUAGGCACCUGAGGCCACUAAUUGCAUGGUUGGAUGAGGAGCUGCAUGAGAUUAUGUAUCGUGUUGUUCCUUAACUACAAAUAUCAGUUUUAAGUAGCAUCUCCAUGUGACAUUUUCCUGAUGCAAUUUCGCUGUCCACCAACAAAUUUCACCAUGCAGCAAGAUGAAUUGUAAUUUCUUUAUUGUUAUCAACAGCUUUAAUUAAUCUUGAUAUAUAUAUAUAACUUAGUAGAAGUAUAUUAAUCUAGAUUGUAGUUGCACUAAGAUAAUAGGCAAUAUUAUAACAGUGCCACAAUGCUCAUCGCCAAAUAGAAAGGUAGAAAAACUACAAUGAGUAACUCACAACAUUCUCAAACAGGACAUAGCGGCGACUGAUACAUAGAACACUAUUGGCACUCAGGAAAUGAUAAGAUCAGUGCCCAGCAGGCAGCACGUCUUAUUUUACAUACUACUUAAAACUAACCAAAGUCAUUCAGUUGGGAUGGGUGGGAGAUGGUGGUUUGUGCGGUGGCUUUUGGGUAGUUGGUGGCUUCUUUCCUGGAACUGAUGGUUUUUUUGUUGGAGUUGAAGGAGGCUUAAUCGUCUGAGGUGGCUUGUAUGAGUCUUCAGCACUCUCUGCGGGAGGGUGCCCAGGGUUGUGACCAUAAUGGGGUGGCUUCUCUCCCUUAGUUGGUUUGCCAAGUGGGCUGGCUGGCUUGUGCUCCGGGAGCGGCUUCUCUCCCUUAGGUGGUUUGCCAAAUGGGCUUGCUGGCUUGUGCUCUGGGAGCGGCUUCUCUCCCUCAAGAAGUUUACGGGUUUUGUCAGAUGGCUUGUGUUCUGGUGGUGGCUUCUCUCCUUGGGGUGGUUUGCCAAAUGGACUUGGUGGCUUGUGUUCGGGGAGUGGCUCCUCUCCCUUGGGAGGUUUAGUUGGUGGCUGGUGUUCCAUAGGUGGUUUCUCAACCGGGGGCUUGUUCUCCGUUGGUGGUUUAUGAACUGGGGGAUGCUUGGGGUAGUCAGCAAGAGACGGGGUGGUGAGAACCACCAGUCCCAGCAGCAACACUAGCAAGUAUGUGGAAGAGUACAUCUUUGAGUUCAGGCUGAGAUUUGUGCGAGACUUGAAGAAUUAGGUGGCCUUUUAUAGCUGGCUGCACCCAACACUCACAUGACACGUAUCAUGGUGACACAUGUGCUAUGGGUCCAUUUGGGUCCUACAGAAGCUGAAAACUUUUGACUAUUGAGGUGUGGUCACAACUUUUGUCCCUAUUGCUUUCUCCGCAACCGUUUUACAUGUUUCCUUUGGCAUAAUUUUCUAAGCUAAACAAGCAUAUAUCAUAUUUGGUUAAGAAAGAGUAAAGUGUAUAUGGCACACAUCAAGGAAGAGAAACAGAAAAAGUGGGAGACAAUCAAUUGUGAUAAACAGAUAUAUUAUAUUCAUGUAGUACUAGUGACUUUAUCAUUUACUUUUAUCCAAUAGAUCAUCACUCUUUCUUCUAAAUAUUUUGGAGGAUAAUGGUACAUGUUGCUUGUUUCCAAGUCAAAAUUGGUGGCAAAAAUCGGCAUGAUACGAAAGGAUUGGUGAAAAGAUUCACAUAGAUGGUGCUUUGUGCAAUGCAGUCUUGCUCUAAUUCAACAGAGUGGACCAUGGUGAUGUAUUUUAAAUUUUAAAUUUUAAAUUAAUGCAUGCUUCAAAGUUUUAACUAGAUGUCACUUCCAUGGAUUUUUGUUCAUUUAAUUGAGCACAGGAUAGGCUAUCAAACUUGAAGUAAUAUAAAAAUCCCUUCAUUACUGUAACUAAUGAAAGAUCAUUAUCUGCGCUUGGUAUUUUGCCAAGGUAUUUGCUGCUCUUUCUAGCCCUGUCUUACAGUUAAGGACAAUGUGAUCUAGUUAACCUUAGAAGCUAUUCCAUGUCAGAUACAAGAGAUCAAGCACAUUAUCUUUGGGCUCAGUUCAAAACUAUAAUAUAUGGGUGGGGUGGAGGCCCAUAUCAUUUGCAUAUCACCACUAUUGGUUUAGUUUGGAAGGUUUCUUCUGGAAGAUUGCUGCUUUCUGGAAUCAUUUCAAAGAAAUAUAUCUUUUUGUUCUCUUGGUGACGAGCAGCGGCAAUCAAGUCUGUUGACAAACAACCGAGUUGAAAAGUUUGAAAAUUGGUCACAGCCCACGUCCAUGGUUAAGGAAAAGGUCACUGGAAGUGAUCCCUUCUGGGCCUCUUGAUUUCCAUUCUGACAUCUAUAUGACCUGAUAAAUAGAAAGAAAAAAAAACAGAAGAAAAGCGGCACCCGGGUUCAUAGUAAGCAUCAAGACAGGAUACUGAAAGAAGGGAGAAAGGAGAUUGCAAGUCCAAUCCUGAUAAAAUGAUCAACAAAGAGUAUCAAAAUGGGGCCAACAUAAAGACCCAUUGAGGUUAGCAGAUGGCAUGGCAUUUUUCUCCUUAAGUUUUCCAUGAUUAGACUUGAAGUCAAAAUUUCACAUGUAAAUUUGUAUUUCUACAUUUCCCACUGACGACACCCAACUUCAACUUGAGUUAGAAUAACAUUGUGUGAACUUAUCUGGCCCUCAAAAUUUACUGUGAAGUGCUUUCUGCGUGUGAAGAUUCAGAAAAGCACCAAGGGAACAUGUAUGGUCUGCCUUUUUCUGAUGUUAUGUUUGUCUCUAAUUCUGUUCCAUGUCAUGGUAAAUGUUCACAUUGCUUGUAUGGAACACACCAGGAUCACUUUUUCGGGUUUAUUUUGAGGCUUCAUAUUGGGUUCAUAUUGGGUUCAAUGCUUUUAAUGUGUUCAUUAGACAAAUCUGAAUUAUCAUAUGCAUUUAGAUAAGAACAAUAAUGUGAAACCCUAGUUACACCUCCCCUGCAUAACCCCAACCCUGCUUACUCUAUUUCAGUUUACUCACACAAGUUUUACCGGUUCUUAUAAGUCAAGAAAAGGCAACUGAUGUUGGAUUGACUCUCUUCCAUGUAUAAAAAGCAACUUUUAUAUAUACAUAAAAUAACUUCUUCCCCUCACCAAUGUGGGAUAUCAUGGAUUUAUUCUGGAAACACAUCAAAGGAACAUCUUUUCUCUUGGGUGACCCUAAGUGGUGAGUCAGACCAUUUGCAUGCCAUUGAGUUGCACAGUUGGAUAAAUGCACCUACCUCCUGGGCUCCAGAGUUAAAAGGGUGGAUCCCUGGAUCGCAACCCUCUUGGCAUCUUGGUUUCCAUUCCAACAUCCACAUGACUUGACAAAACAAAAAACAGAAUAAAAUCAUCACUAUUUUCAUGCUAAGCACCAAUACAUGAUGGAAAUCAUUGCUUAAAGAUUUGGGGUCAUUUAGGUUUUGACUGCCUCCUAACACCUCACCUAAUCACAAGUUUUUAUGCUUACAAAUCAAAUAUCGUUCUUCAUUAUAUUAAAAUCAUUUUAAGAUUUCAGAUCCAUCUGCUAAUUAUGAUUAUGAUAACAUUAAUUCACCUGUGCUUCUCAUUUUCGACACACAAGGCAUCUAGGUUUGCAGGAUUUCCUUAUUAGAUGAGAUAAAUGAGUACGCAUGGUUAUGUAUGCAGCAUUCAUUAACCAUGGUAUGUGACAUUUAGAAUUAAGAUAGCAAGCAAACUUUCCCUGCAGCUUGAGUAAAUUGUGAUUUCUUAGCCUCUAUGAGUGGUUCCCAAAUCAAAUUAACAUAGUGAAAUAUACGUAGUCCAGUGAAAGGAAAUGUAAAUUAUAAACUAACAGCACUACACUACUGGUAACACUCGAUACUCUCUAUAUAAUGCAAUGAAAUAUACGUUAUACGUUGCUUGUUCCAAGUCAAAAUUUGUGGCCAAACGUUGGCCUUUUUUCAUUUUCCCUAAGAUUAAUGCUCACCUGGGAUAGGCACUACAUGAUUUAUCUGCUCUUUUACUGUAAAGUUGCUUUGUGUAUGAGUUACACCUCCCCUGCACACCCUCAACAUUUGUUGCUCUGUUUUCCUUGUGUCCAGACGAGGAUAUUAAGUGGGGGCUGACAAAACGACUGCUAGCCAAGGAUUUACAAGGUCCUGGUUUGACGCUUCCGCGAAAGUAUUUUUGAAAAUAUACACAUAGAGAUUGCGCGUUCGGUGCAAUGCAACAAUGUGAGCCAUUCUGAAGUUUUUAAUUUCAGAUUAAUGAAUGCUACAAAAUUCUAAGAAGGGCCGUUUCCAAAUAUUUGAGUUCAUUUAUCCGAACAUCGGAUAAGUAAUGAUCAUAGAUUAUUAUUAUUAUCUGACGUUCUUAUAAUGGUUGGCAUUAUAAGAGGGUAUAUGCUUCUUUCUCUAGCCCCUCCUUCAAGGGAGGGACAAUGUGAUCUGUAUCGUUAGAAGCUAUUCCAUGUCGUCAUCUUUUGGCUUAAGUCAAUACUAAAAUAUAUGGGCGGGGCCCCUGUCAUUUUAUAUUUCUUCUAGAAGGUUUGUUCUGGAAAUCUUUCACCGAAACAUAUCUUUUUCUUCUCUACGUGAUCCGUGGUUGGAAAGUUAGAAAAAUGGGUCCGUUCACAAGCCACCGAGUUGAAAAGUUGGAAAAAUGGCAACACCGCCAACCUCUUGUAUUCGAUAGUUAAAUAAAAGGUCACUGGAAGUGAGAUCCCUUUUGGCCUCUUGAUUUUCAUCCCAGCAUCUCUAUGUCCUGAUAAACUAAAAAACUAAAAAAAAAACAGUACGUGGGUUGGUGUUAAGCAUCAAGAGUCAAGACAUGAUAAUGGAGAGAAAGGAUAUUCAAAUUCCAGUUCUGACAACAUGAUUUUCUUUCCUGAACAACCAUGUUAUAUUUGAUCAAGAAAGAGUAGUGCAUGUGGCCAGGAUCAAGACAUACAUUAAUUUCCACAUGAUGAAGACAGUUUCUGAGAGUUUCUUCUAAAGCUCUUGCGCUAGUAGGCUUCAAGUCAAAAUUUCCCAUGUAAACACUGGAUUUUCUUUAAUUGCCACUAAGGAUACAGUUAAAAUUGACUUAAAAUCCUACGUGAUAUAUAUCUUUAACAAAAGUAUAUUGUAUAUAAUAUUUGAAAUAAUGUUGAUUCGUUGUGGAAAUAUGUUUGUAAGGAAAGUUGUUGACAAUUUAAUAUAGUAUAAGAAGAAAAAAGUUAUCAACUAGAGAUGAGUAUGUAAAGUGAGGCUCACGAUUCAACGCGUAAAUAUAAGAUAUUUUAAGGCUCAAUAGUUAUGAUAUCUAUUUUAUUUUUUGUAUCCCAUAUAUUCAAAGAUACAGUAAAAUGAUUUUAUAUAUAUGAACAUAGCCGAUAGUAUCAUGUUAAAACCUUAUAUGACUCUUUGUGCCAAUUGAUUUUUAUCUUUAUUUUGUGUAUUAGUAAUUAGUAUUAAAGUUUUUACUAACAUAAUAAUUGAUAUAAAAGCUUUUUCCAAAAGAGUCAAACAGAGCAAAACACUUAUUAUAAAAAGAAUUUUGAUUGAAGGUGGAGUCAAUUAUUCUUUAUUCAACAUGUGAUGCAUACAGCGGGUACUUCAUAACUAAAGUAUAUAAGUGCAACAUCUCUUAUACAUUCUCAUUCAAUCUCGAAAGUGGAAAAUUUUAAAAGAUUAAAUGGUUCAAAUUUUCCGUGCAUAAAGGGGAUCAUGUCACAUAACCAAACCAUGGCAUACCAAAGCCAUGAUAUGGACUAAGAAUUUUGUUAAAAUAAGUUUCUUAUUAGGGCACAUUAUGUGACUAUUUAUGACAUAUCAAAGGAGUCAAGUGCAUCAAUAAAGACAUAGAAAAUUCAUGCAUCACAUGUACCACUAAGAGAAAAUUGACUUGAUAGAGUUUAGUCCAAAUAGGAGAUUGUUAAAAGGUGCAUCAAAUUCUUGAUUGAUAUAUAUUUUUUUUAUUAGAAAGGUUAUUAUAUAGAUAUUUCAAUAGACUAUUAAUCCUUUGUAAAAAUAGUUAUAUAAUGAGGAUGGUGAUUAAAAAUAUCUCUAUCAAUAUUUUGGAUUAUAAAAAGAAAAAAAAUAUGAGAAAAUGAUAAACAUAUAAAACUUGUACAAGUAGAUAGAGAUGUGAUGAAAGACACUUGAUGAAUGGAGGCCUUGUAUUUCAAGAUGUAAAUAUAUGGAGCAAAACUCUUAAUUAUAUGAUCAAAUGAUUCUCUCAUAUUCAUGAACAUAAGCAGGAUUGGGGAACCAUGAUAGAAUCUUAUAUGCCUCUCCAUGUAGAUUGAUCGAUGUUUAUCUUCAUAUUUUACACCAAUGAAUGACAUUGAAACUCUGAUUGAUAAAAGGGAAAAAGCAUGGCCUCCACCACAAGAAAAACAAGUAACCUCGGUCUAAAUCACUAGUCUACACCCCGAAGAGAGAACUAGCCAAACCUACUAAAAGAGAAACUUACCAAUUUAGAAAGAAAUCUUCCAUGAUAAAGGGCCCCUAAAAGUCCAAUUCAGUCAGGUUGUGAACAAAAACACCUUCAUGUCAAAACAGGAAUAGGUACCACCAAAAUGUAAAGGGAAAGAUGUAAACCAAGUCGAACUUUGGUAAACAAUGGUAAAGAUAGCAUGAUAGCUAAAAGCACUAAAGCUGUGCUUGGUAUGCAAAAAUGAAAAGUGGAAAUCAGCGUCUUAUUCUUUUUCUCCUUUAUUCACAUAUUAGGAUAACUAAUAUCUAAUGUUUUUUUUAUGUCUCAAAUUCUAUUCCAUGUUAUGGUAAACUUUCAUCUUGUUUAAGUGGAAGAGUAGGAUCACUUUUGUCUGGUUUGGGCUCAAGACGAUAAGCCUAUAGAGACUUCAUAUUGGGUUGAAUUGAUGCCCUUGAUCCGAUCAGUUCGUUAGAAAAAUCUGAAUUAUUAUAAGCAUUUAGAUAAAAUAAAUAAAUAAAUGUGAAACAGAGACUAUUCUCUGCACAACCUUGACCCUAGUUACUCAGUUUCACUGCUCACGGGACUAACCUCUCCAUUCAGUCGAAAUGAAUUGUAAUUUCUUUACUGGUAGCAGUAGUACUUUUCAUAGCAAAGAUAAUAGUAAAUAUGAAAUAUAAAUAUAUAGAAGGAAAUCUGGAUUGUAGAUAGCACCAUAAGUAACACUCAAUAUUUACUACAUAAUAAAAGAGAUAGUGUUACAAAGGUAGAGAAACCUACAAUGAGUACUCAUCACCAUUCUCAAACAGAAACAUAGCAGUGACUUAUACAUAGAACCUAUAGGCUCGCAGGGAAAGAGUAACAUGAUAAGUGCACAGCGGGUAGCAGCUCUUAUUUUACGUAUUACUCAAAAUCUCAAACUAACCAAAGUCACUCAGUUGGGAUGGGUAGGAGAUGGUGGUUUGUGGGGUGGCUUCUGGGUAGGAGCUGGUGGCUUCUUUGUUGGAGUUGAAGGAGGCGUAAUCUUCUGAGGUGGCUUGUAUGAGUCUUUGGCACUCUCUGCAGGAGGGUGCCCAGGGUUGUGACCGGAAGGAGGUGGCUUCUGUCCCUUUGGUGGUUUGCCUAAUGGGCUUGGUGGCUUGUGCUCCGGGAGUUGUUUCUCUCCCUCGAGUAGGUUUCGAGUUUUGUCAGAUGGCUUGUGUUCUGGUGGUGGCUUCUCUCCCUGGGGUGGUUUGCCGAAUGGGCUUGGUGGCUUGUGUUCGGGGAGUGGCUUCUCUCCCUUGGCAGGUUCAGUUGGUGGCUGGUGCUCCGUAGGUGGUUUCUUCACCGCCGGCUUCUCUCCCUGGAGAAGGUUACGAGUUUUGUCAGAUGGCUUCUGUUCUGGUGGCGGCUUCUCUCCCUGGGGUGGUUUGCCAAAUGGGCUUGGUGGCUUGUGUUCGGGAACUGGCUUCUCUCCCUUGGCAGGUUCAGUUAGUGGCUGGUGUUCCGUAGGUGGUUUCUUCACCGGCGGCUUGUGCUCCGGAAGCGGCUUCUCUACCUGGAGAAGCUUACGAGUUUUGUCAGAUGGCUUGUGUUGUGGUGGUGGCUUCUCUCCCUGGGGUGGUUUGCCAAAUGGACUUGGUGGCUUGUGUUCGGGGAGUGGCUUCUCUCCAUUGGGAGGUUUAGUUGGUGGUUGGUGUUCCGUAGGUGGUUUCUGAAGUGGGGGAUGCUUGGGGUAGUCAGCAAGAGACGAGGUAGUGAGAACCACCAGUCCCAGCAGCAAUACUAGCAAGGAUGUGGAAGACAUCUUUGAGUUCAGGCUGAGAUUUGUGCAAGGCUAGAAGAAUUAGGUGGCCUUUUAUAGCGGGCUGGACCCAACAACCAAAUGACACGUAUCAUGAUACACAUAUGUGUUAUAAGAUCCUUGUGGGUCCUACAGAAGUUGAAAACUUUGACAAUUGAGGUGUGAUUACAACUUUUGUCCCUAUUGCUUUCUCGUCAGCCGUUUUGCAAGAUUUUUGACAGGAGGACGGUAGUUUAAAAUAAUAAUUUCUAAAGUACUUUUGUGAAAAAAAAUAAUUCCAAACGUGGAUUUUAUCAAGUAAAAAAAACAAAAAAAAGUUAUUUUCUUUUAAAAUCUUUUCUUCAUGAUUCAUAUACCAAAAAAAGAAUUGUUUUCUGUAGGUAAAAUUUUUAAAAUUCAUUUUUAAAAAAAAAAAAUUACACACUAAAAUUAUCUCUUCAAGAAAAUAUUUUUUAAAUUUUAAAUAAUUAUUAAUUUAUAAUUAAUUUUUUAUUAAUUAUUUAUUAAAUUUAUAUGUGAAAAAUGCAUUUAUAAAAAACAAAUUUUUUAUUAAUUUAUUAAAUAAUUAUUUACAAAAUAAAUAAUUUUGCUUUAUUUUAAUUUUAAAAUUAAUUUUAUUAUAUAAAUUUUAAAAUUAAAAAUAUUAAUAUUUAAUUUAAAAUUUAACUAUAAAAGGAAUAAAAUAUAGAAAAAUAAAUUAAUUUAUUAUUCAAUAAAUUAAUUUUCAAUAAAAUUUUCAGCAUUAAGAGAUAAAUUUUUAAGUAUUAAUCAAUUUAAAAAAUAAUAAUAAUCAUUUGUAUACUAAGAUAUUUUAUUUAGUAAUUAUGAAUGAUAAACAACUAAAGUAAUUUGAAAAAAUAAUAAAAUAUUUAAAAAUAAUAAUUUAAUACACUUAAAAUUAGAAAUGAUUAACUAUUUUUUAUUAAGAAAAAAUUGAAGAAAUAUUUUGUUAUUUAAAAUUUUUUAUUUGUUUUCAAUUUUAAAUGUUAUAGGUUUCAAGAAAAUUGAUCAAAUAAAAAUUAAGAAGUCAUUUUUUCAAAAACUAUAUAUCUAAAUAAAAGCCUUGAAAUUCAAAUACACAAUAUCAUAAAUAUAAACACCAAGUCAAUCCUUAAUUAUCAAAUGUUUUUAAUAUUAAAGAAUCAAAAUCACCUACUAUCAUGAUAAUAAGAAAACCAAUAAUAUUGUUCAUAUAAAUACUAAAAAGCUAACAAAUAUCCCAAACAAUUAAUAAAGUAUCAAACAUGAUAAAAAGUCAAUUAUUAUCAUGAAUGCAAAAAAUCAAUAAUUUUGUUUAUAUGAACCAUCAACAAAGAAAAAAAAAAUCAAUAUCUAAAUAUUAAACAUAAUUUAUAUUUUUAUAAAUAUUAUUGUUGAUAAAUAUCUUAAUAAUUAUAAUUUUUUAUAUAUUAAAUUUAGUAAAUAAAAUUAAUUAAUUUUAUAAUAUAAGAUAUAUAUAAUAAUUAAGAGACUAUUUGUCCCAAACAAUUUAUUUAUUUUUUUUUUAGGAAAUUGUCUCUUCAAGAGACGACUUCUCCCAACAUUUUUAAAAAAAAAAAAAAAAACAUCUAUUCAAAAGACGAUUUCUCCUCAUUUUUUAAAAAUGAAUUUUAGAAAUCAUAUUUUCAAAAAUGAAUUUUAGAAAUCAUAUUUUCAAAAGACGAUUUUUUUUUAUAUAAAUUAUUUUUUAAAAUGACGAUUUUAAAAGGAAAUAACGAUCUCUCUCCUACUUGGCAAAAACUAUGGUAAAUUUGGAAUUAUUUCUUCCACAACCAUAGUUUAAGAAUUAUUUUUUUAUACUUUCGUAGACUUAUCAAAAAUCCCUAUUUUGCAUGUCUCAUUUGGCAUGACUUUCUUACCUAAACAAGCAUAUAUAUAUAUAUAUAUAUAUAUAUCACUUUUGUCUGGGUUGAGUCAAUGCCCUUAACUAAUUUGUUCAUUUGAAUAGUCUAAAUUAUUAUAAGCUUUUAGUUAAGAAAAAUGUGAAACAUAAAUUACACCUCUCGGCACAACUUCGACACUGGUUACUCUGUUUCAGUUUAUUCACACAAGAUUAUUGGUUCUAGGGUUUAUUUGGUUUUGGUUUGAUUCUAAUUGCUAAACUUUCUCAAGGAAGAUGUUAUAUAGGGAGUGAGAAACCUUCACUCCUGGCUACCUCCAAGAGAAGAGCAAGUGGUCUGAAUCAAAGAUAUACUGCUCACUUUUUCUUCUUCUAAGGACAGCUAUGACCUUGCUUUAAAAUGUUCGAAUAGCCUAAUGCAACCUCCCAUUUCUCAAGUCAGCUGAUGAUGUAAGUCACCUUGGCUUUCCACAUUCAUACGGUGAGGACGUUUGUGGGUGUAAUUCUCUUAACAGUUUUCAUUUUAUAUGGAAAAAUUCAUAAUUAAGGGUAAUUACUGAUUCCAUUUGACAGUGACCAAGUUUAAAAUAUUAACUCAUGUAUUAAAUGCACAUUAAAAAAUCAUGGAAUAAAUAUAUUUACUAAUAUAUAGUUCUUUUGUCAUGUUCUGUCACAGAAGCAUCGAACUUUCCCUAGAAAUUUUUGCAUGGUAUUCUGCUUAUGAUUUUGAAAACUCUAGGCACCUAAGGCCACUGAUUGCAUGGUUGGAUGAGGAGCUGCAUGAGAUUAUGUAUCCUGUUGCUCCUUAACUACAAAUAUCAGUUUUAAGUAGCAUCUCCAUGUGACAUUUUCCUGAUGCAAUUUCGCUGUCCACCAACAAAUGUCUCCAUGCAGCUAGAUGAAUUGUAAUUUCUUUGUUGUUAUCAACAGCUUUAAUUAAUCUUGAUAUAUAUAUAACUUAGUAGAAGUAAUUAAUCUAGAUUGUAGUUGCACUAAGAUAAUAGGCAAUAUUAUAACAGUGCCACAAUGCUCAUCGCCAAAUAGAAAGGUAGAAAAACUACAAUGAGUAACUCACACAACAUUCUCAAACAGGACAUAGCGGCGACUGAUACAUAGAACACUAUUGGCACUCAGGAAAUGAUAAGAUCAGUGCCCAGCAGGCAGCACGUCUUAUUUUACAUACUACUUAAAACUAACCAAAGUCAUUCAGUUGGGAUGGGUGGGAGAUGGUGGUUUGUGCGGUGGCUUCUUUCCUGGAACUGGUGGUUUUUUUGUUGGAGUUGAAGGAGGCUUAAUCGUCUGAGGUGGCUUGUAUGAGUCUUCAGCACUCUCUGCAAGAGGGUGCCCAGGGUUGUGACCAUAAUGAGGUGGCUUCUCUCCCUUAGGUGGUUUGCCAAGUGGGCUGGCUGGCUUGUGCUCCGGGAGCGGCUUCUCUCCCUUAGGUGGUUUGCCAAAUGGGCUUGCUGGCUUGUGCUCUGGGAGCGGCUUCUCUCCCCCAAGAAGUUUGCGGGUUUUGUCAGAUGGCUUGUGUUCUGGUGGUGGCUUCUCUCCUUGGG
Molecule: long non-coding RNA, 36473 nt
Filed under: Vitis vinifera (wine grape)
Lineage: Eukaryota; Viridiplantae; Streptophyta; Magnoliopsida; Vitales; Vitaceae
Description: long non-coding RNA (VVIN_LNC001392)
Source: RNAcentral